Molecule: long non-coding RNA, 448 nt
Organism: Trematomus bernacchii (emerald rockcod)
Lineage: Eukaryota; Metazoa; Chordata; Actinopteri; Perciformes; Nototheniidae
Exons: 2
Source: RefSeq, a predicted model, not a curated record
ACAUGAUAAGCUGUUUCAAAUCACUUCUAACAGUCUUGUUAUAAGAAUAUAUUGAAACAACACAUUUACAACAUCUCACAUUUAUCAGGGAUUGAAUGAGUUUCUGAAAUGUGAAGUGACAGAUGGUUAUGAUAAAAAAGAGAAGCUCUUAAUUGAGAAACCAGGUUAGAAUAUAAUGAGUUGUUUUAAAUCACUUAUCACACAUUUAAUCACAGAUAAUGCUUUUGGGAUUUGAGGUUUUGACGUCACAUCAUUUUGUCAUUUGGUUUAUGCAUAAAACAACUGGAACACCAACAAUUCAUGAAUGGACAUCUGAAAACAACAACAAAGAAACAGACAGCAAACAUCCAGAAGGACCAGCUGUGUGGUGGCUCAUCAUGGUGUCUGUGGGGUUAGCAGCUCUCAUCACCAUGGUUACAGUCCACAUCUGGACCAGAGCUAAAGGUGA